CGCUGCCAGCUGCGCCGUCAAUCUUCGCGUCGGCGAGCGGAGACCUCGCAGAGCGACGGGACCAGCAAGGCGCCCUCCUCGACGACCUGCUGCACAUCAACGCCGGAGUUGUUCCCGUGACGCCUUCUGCACCGACCCUUGGAGAAUCUGUCCAGACCGGCCGAUCUGCUUUCUCCAAUCGGACUGAGAAUAUGCAUGGUCUUCGACACAAAAGGCUUGCGGGAAGGACACGUGCAGCCCCUGGUGGCAGCUCCCAAGAGAUCAAUGAUGCUGCUGCCAACUCCCAGAUGAGCAUUGAUGGUGGUGAUGACUCCAAUGCUGCUGCUGGUGGCAGCAUACUGGAUAGAGAGGAGCCUCCCAAAAAAGGAAGAGGGAGAGGGAAGAGGAAUAGAACACAAAUGAGAGUGCCUCCACAUGAGGGGAAGGUUAUGUUGAGGCCAGUGGGAAACUGACAAUUCACCUAUGUCAAUUACAAUCCUAAAGGCUACAAGUAUGGCUCACAAGUUGGAGUAAUUAUCAAACGACUUUAUCCUGGUGAGAUCAAAAUCUGUGAUGAUGAAGGCAGGGUUGUUGAAACACGGGCGGCAUUGUCAUGGCAUGAUUACUUCUACAAAAAGGAUAAACUUGGUUUGACAUAUGCUAGACGAGUAAAGCAGGAAUUCUGGAGUUUGUUCACAACCACUCAAGCUGAUGUAAGAAGAGCCAACCAUAAUUUGGAGACAUAUCUUGUGAAAAGAGUAUCUGAUCUGAUAUAUCAAGCCUGUUUGGAUGCUGUAAAGAAGCAUGAGGGCUGUGAUGAUAAUCAAGCAUGCGAUAUAGAACUUACAGAAGAACAAUACUUAAAGUGCAGACCUGAUUAGGGCACCAGGGAAGGUUGGGCAGCCUUAUGCAAGUACUGGACCAGUGAGAAGUACAAGGAAAAGAGGAUAGCAGCACGCCUAAAAUUUGCUAACGUUGCUCAUAAUAGAGGUGGUUCAAGGCCAUGGGCAGAAACACAACAAUUGCUGGUAUGAUAUUUUCGAGCUUUCGAUUGUGUUUUGCUUCUGCUACUAAAUGAGACAUGAUAUGAAUAAUAAUGCCAUGAUUUUACAUAGAGCUAAUUACCUUAAGUUUCAAACAUCAUGUAACAUUAGUAUGAUGGUCUUGUAGAAGCAUAAAUUUAGUCCAGAGAAGGCUGGCACUUUAAACACAUGCAGUGAUGAAAUCUGGAUUAAAAAAUGUGGACAACACUGCAAAAAGUGCUCCAAUCCCCAGCCAAAAAGCACAAAAGCGCUUGGUAUGUAUGCCAUGCUUAACAUUUUGAUAUGAACUUUUUCUAGUCAUGCUUAGCACACUGGUAUUUCAUUUUAGGAUGAGUACAAUGCAAGAGCAAUGGUUGCUGAGAAUUCAAAGGAUUUAGGAUGCACACACUCUGUAUCACAUGGAAGGUGGUUUGCCCCAUGGUCGUGUACCAAUAGCUGAUGGUGCAGUGGAUAAGGAAGAGGUUAUAGUAGUUGCAAAAUCCAAUAAUCUACGUCCAGUCAAUACUGCUUCUUAUCGAACUGUGGUGGAUGAAAAUGAUGAGUUGAAGGAGAUGAAUAAGGAGUUGAGGGAG
Molecule: long non-coding RNA, 1594 nt
Organism: Panicum virgatum (switchgrass)
Lineage: Eukaryota; Viridiplantae; Streptophyta; Magnoliopsida; Poales; Poaceae
Exons: 4
Source: RefSeq, a predicted model, not a curated record